GGGGGGGGGGCAAGCGUUGUUCGGAAUUACUGGGGCGUAAAGGGCGCGCAGGCGGCCUGGCCAGUCCUACGUGAAAUCCCACAGCUCAACUGUGGAACUGCGUGGGAUACUGCCAAGCUUGAGUCCGGGAGAGGAGAGUGGAAUUCCCAGUGUAGCGGUGAAAUGCGUAGAUAUUGGGAGGAACACCGGUGGCGAAGGCGGCUCUCUGGACCGGCACUGACGCUGAGGCGCGAAAGCUAGGGGAGCAAACGGGAUUAGAUACCCCGGUAGUCCUAGCCCUAAACGAUGAGCACUUGGUGUGGCGGGUAUCGACCCCUGCCGUGCCGAAGCUAACGCAUUAAGUGCUCCGCCUGGGGAGUACGGUCGCAAAGGCUG
Molecule: ribosomal RNA, 375 nt
Filed under: uncultured organism
Description: partial 16S ribosomal RNA
Rfam family: Bacterial small subunit ribosomal RNA
Source: RNAcentral